AUUCCCCUACUUCCCCAAGUUAUAGUCCCACAUCUCCCAGUUACAGUCCCACAUCUCCUAGUUACAGCCCGACCUCUCCAAGUUAUAGCCCAACUUCCCCAAGUUAUAGCCCUACAUCACCCGUAUACAGUCCCACAUCACCUGCAUAUAGUCCCACAUCACCUGCAUAUAGUCCUACCUCGCCAUCAUACAGUCCGACUUCUCCUUCCUACAGCCCGACCUCUCCCUCGUACAGCCCGACUUCUCCUUCAUACAGCCCCACAUCACCAUCGUACAGCCCAACUUCGCCUGCUUAUAGCCCCACUUCCCCAGGUUACAGCCCAACCUCCCCAAGCUAUAGUCCGACCUCCCCAAGCUAUAGUCCGACCUCCCCAAGCUACAAUCCUCAGUCAGCAAAGUACAGUCCAUCGCUGGCAUACUCACCUAGCAGUCCAAGGUUGUCACCUUCCAGUCCGUAUAGUCCUACAUCUCCUAAUUACAGGUAGUCCUAGUUCCCUGCUCGUUGUCCAUUCAAGUAUUGGAAUUUUUUGUUUUUCCUUAAUAGUUCCUGUGAUUUAUUUUCACGCUGUCUCCUCUGGUAUUAAUUUUUUGCUCCUUGUUGCAGCCCCACAUCCCCUUCAUAUUCACCUACAUCUCCAUCAUACUCCCCUUCAAG
Molecule: long non-coding RNA, 655 nt
Filed under: Ricinus communis (castor bean)
Lineage: Eukaryota; Viridiplantae; Streptophyta; Magnoliopsida; Malpighiales; Euphorbiaceae
Description: long non-coding RNA (RCOM_LNC002595)
Source: RNAcentral